This 1177-nucleotide long non-coding RNA is filed under the name Equus caballus (horse). Its description in RNAcentral is "lncRNA (ENSECAG00000030343.3)". The record is from RNAcentral. Lineage: Eukaryota; Metazoa; Chordata; Mammalia; Perissodactyla; Equidae.
CACACUUCCCUCUGGACACCUCCUGUACCCAAAGGGGCAGGGAGCAUGACCACCUGACAUACAGUCUGUUCCACAUGUUUGGUGGAUUUUUUGUGGACCCCUUGAUGCCAUUCAUUAGAGACCACUGGGGAGCCCACGAGCCUUUGGAGUCAAAAGAAAGAAAAAACAAAGAACUUAGAAGACUGACUUAACCUCUCUGAGCUUCAUUUUAUUCUUCUUUAAGAUGCCCAUCGCCCAUCUGUUUGUGGAAUAGCAAGUGGGAGAUGAUGCAGUGUGGCUGCAUCAUGACUGCUGCUCUCCUUGCUUGGCGUUGACACCUUGUGCCCUGAUGGAGCCCCACACAAACCAACCUUUAAUGUAUCUGCAACCGCUGUUAGGAGUUGGGGACAAGACCUCUCCCUGUCCUCUAUCCUCUAUAGAGAUGGAGAAGAAGCAAGGUGUGGACGCUGGUAGAAUCUCCAAGAAAGAGCCAAGUACUCCCUCCGCCUUCCAUGGUGGUCCCCUUUCUGACCCUUUGGCUCCUAAUGGAGAGAGGGCAUGGUGAUGAUCUCCCUGGGAAGUAUUGAGAUCUGAGACUAGAAGAGAUCCAUGCUCAGCUUCAGGUCUGGAUGCACCUGCCAGAUGCUGAGUCCGAAAGAGCUCCUCAGCCCUACACAGCAUGAGAUAGCUGAUUGUGGUCUCCCAAAUCUCCAUCUUCUUGAUGUGGCAAGAUUGAAAGUGGUACUGGAAGUAGUGAUAUUUUUCAACAACUCCUGAAGGCUCAGUUGAAAGCUUGAUUCUCCAGUCCUUUCAGUUAUGUUGCCCUCAAGAGACUGGAUGAGGCUCACUCACCAUGGAGAAGGCAACCUGCUUUAUUCAGUCCACCAAUCCAAAUGUUUGUCUCAUCCAGAAGCUACCCUUACAGACACACCCAAAAUAAUGUUUAACCAACUAUCUGGGUAUCUCAUGGUCCAUUCAAGUUGACAGAUAAAAUUAACCAUCACACUAUAUCAUUAAAUUAAAUGUGCAUUUAUUUAAAGAAAACCAAGUGUUUGACACCAUGUAAUUGACUUUAUAUAACCUUAAUUUGAACUCAGAAGGACUUCCUGAUAAUGCAAGAAAAUAGAAAUCUAUUUAUUAGUGACUGGUUCUAUCUAUAAGUCCAAGCUACGGAGAAAAUUUAAAAAAUAAAGAAGCU